CAGCAACACUGAUGAAGUAUGAGGACACCGCUUUCACUGUCCCCUACUCGAUGAGCGUGGUUUUCGACCGACAGGAGGUGUCCCUGAAUCUGAAUCUGACCAAACUUCAGGGACCUUCCUCCUCAAUGGGCAUCUUUCCUCUUACGCUGGGACCGACUCAGUUUGUUCUGACCAAACAUAAAUCAUGAUUUAUGCUAAUGUGAGUGUGGAGUUGAUGUAACAAUAUCUAAUACUCACUAAAAACUUGACCAGAAAGGAAAAUUAGUUACUUUGGCAAAAUAAAUGUCUUAAAGAGGCGGGGUUUAAUCUGGAGUGGUAUGAUGUGACUACUGAAAAGGACCACGUUUAGGCAGGAAAUGGCCAUAUUUUUGCUAGUAGCACUGUUUAAAAUGAAUUUAAUAAACAUCUGUACCAUCAUUCCUCAUAAAGUUAUAUUUUGUGUUCAAUAAAUAAAAAAAUCUCAGUCUUACAUUUUACUUCUUCUGUGUUUAAUUUUUUCUAUAGUGUCUGACGUGACAUUUAUGGUAUUAGACACUAAAAAUAACAGCGCUAAACCUGUAAGACAGUUUUGUGUUGAGUUAAAGCUGAGUUAUUCUUAUCAGCAUAACAAAAUCCUCGUCCUGACGUGCAACUAUUGUCACUCCUCCUUUACGGCCUCUGGUUUAUCCAGUUUAACAUCAUUCUGUUACUGCUGAAAAUUGGCACCUUAACUCCCGUAGAUUGUUGUUGGACAGACAUUCACUGAAAACUCUGGAGUUUACAAUCAGUAAAGACCAGUGUCGGGUGGAGUAACUGAACGGCAGGUUCACACCUCAGAUUCAAGAGAAUAGGUGAGUGGUUCCACAACACCUUCGUGGCCCCAUUGACCCAGACGCCAAACAGACGCCUGUUUCACACAGCGCUGACACAUUAUGUGGGAGUGUGACUGAGGAUCUGAGAUGCUGCACAGACCCACUCUGAGCGUCCUCCUGCAGGGCCUGAUUCUGAUCAGGUUCAGCCCGACCGGCGAUGCCUCUUCUCUGGGGAUGACGGUCCACGUUGUGCCUCUGAACAGCAAUAAAGGAAACACAGUUCGGGCUCAUUUCAGUGCCAUCUCUCCUGGUUCUUGUACAUCAUUGUCUGGACUCUGUGCAAACGGCGAGGACUGUCUGAUCCACAAACCCCUAAUUCCUUUCAAAGGAAGUAAACCUGGCUCUGGCUGGUGUGUUCAUCAGUGGCAGAAAACAGUACCGGCUGAUUACAGUGGCACAAUCCAGCUGGGGUCCAACACAGAUUUUUAUGUAAAAUUAAAAGCAGCACCGGUGAUUCGAGGCCACAGCGGGAGACUCAACCAACCGGCCUACGCUGCUCUCCCUCCUCCACUCAGAGCCCGGGUGAACUGCCCCCACCACUUCCCCCUGUCGGUUAAAGACAUGGACAGGGACAGGGUCCGAUGUCGCUUUGCCAGAGCUGAACUGGGAGAGUGCGUUGACUGUGAUCGACACACAUUUAUAGAACUGGACAAGGACAAAUGUAUGUUGACGUUUACUGGAAACGCUGCAGCAGGGCAGUAUUUCAUCUUCCUCAUGGUGGAGGACGUCGUUCCUGUGCCCAGAAUAAGCCAAGUUACGAUCAACACACCCCUCAGUGCCGUCCCUGUUCACCUGUCACUCACUGUGGAGGAGCGGUCGACUACCACCUGCACUGAUGAACCUGUGGCUGCAGGCGAAACCCCCGAAGAGCACAAAACCCUGUACGUCUUGCCGUUCCAGGAGGUGAAAUUCAUCAUUUAUUAUGAGUCACAGUUGCAGAGUGUUUCGGAGGUAGCUGUUAUCGGGCCCCCUAACCUUUUCAGAGUUGGCUUCACAUCAGUUGGGCCCCUGGCAACCAUAAAGAUCGGCUGGGUCCGCUCUGAAAAUAAACUGGCCCGUCUUCUGCCCGUCUGCUUUGUGGCAAAUACCAAUAAUUUGCAGUCAGAGCCCAGAUGUGUGUGGUUGUACCAAAGGGAAAUGGUGUCACUUCCUACUGGGACAGAGCUGACAUGUGGAAAGACGCAGAUGACUCUGGUUCUACCCAUCGGGUCUUUGACUAACAUCAACGUGGCUGAACUGCAGCUCAACAGCCCCACUUGUCCGGUUACCUACAACAAAACACACCUGACGGCAACCAUCCCCCUGAACGGCUGUGGCACUAAGGCUGUGCACUCCGAGUCAGAGCUGAUUUACACCAACACCUUGCACACUGUGCGUACCUACACCAGGGUGAUCCGCCGGAUGCCCACCCUCGUCCUACCUCUGGCCUGUCGGAUUCGUGGCGUCAAUGUCACAGGACCAAAUUACAAAAUUGGAAUGCCCACAGAGAGGCAGACCUUUGGUGAAUUUGAUUUCAGGAUAGAAUUUUACUUGCCAGGAGAAGGACCCCUGCAAAAUUUUACGCGCGUUCCCAGGUUUCGCAAUAUCGGCAUACAUCCUAAUCGAGUGCGUCGAGAAGCAGCAUCCUCCAACGAAACCACCUCUAACAGUAGCUCUACCAGUGCAGCCAUCGGAUCCAGGAUCAGCCAGUUGGACCUCCAUCUGAUGUCCAACUGCUCCGUGGCUCGAGCUGAGAUCUUAGUGAGCAGUUGCAUAGAAUCUGAGACCGCAGACUUUGCUGUAUACCAAACAAUUCUGCAGCAAGGGUGUGCAUCCAACAAUGACACCUUAGAGAUUGUUACAACAACCCCCACCUUCAAAGUCUACCGCCUUAAUCUGACUGAUCUGGACACCCAUGGAUCAAAAAUGAUGUACGUCCGGUGUACAGUCUACCUGUGCAUUGCUACUAUGCCAUCUCAGAGAUGCCCUGAGCUGUGUUCUCGUGCAGUCGGUCAGAGAACAGCAAUGGUCUCCAGUGUGUUCAGCAAAGGCUACACCAUCACAUCAGGACCCGUCAGCCUUGUGGUCACCACUCCUGCACCAACCACUAAAACUACUACUACUGCAACUACAGCAACUACAGCUGUGACUACAGACAUCACAACAACACACACCACCAGCUCACAUGCUCCAGAAAAAGCCUCAUCUGUGGCUGUGGGAGUAACUGUGGUGACCAUCUGCAUAUUUCUGCAAAACAUCUUCUUUCCCUGAAAAAAUUUGAAGAUAAAAUGGAAAUACAUGCAUCUCACUAGUUAUUUCACUGUCAGUUUUCAGUUGUAUUUAGUUUUAUUUACUAUCACAUAUGAAAAAAUACUAAAAUAAUGUAUUUUUUAUCAUGAUAAUGUGUCACUAUUAUGUAUCUGUAUCAUAUGGGAAGUAAAUAAUCAAUUUAAUGUCAUUUAGAUAAGGAUGAUAAGAAAAUGUCUAAUGUCAUAUCCACGUAUCCAUGAAUAAAUAUUAAAUGACAUAUGUGGGACUAUAAAAGCAUAUUGCUGAUUUUUCCUUGCAACACACCUCAACUCUCUUUCUGUUGACAGUAACACUGAAGCAAGAAAUCUGGGUGUAAUUAUCAAUAGUGAUCUAAAAGUCAAACGUCACAUCAACCACAUUACAAUAGUAUCAUUCUAUCAUCUCAAAAACAUUUCCAGAGUAAAGGGCUUUCUGUCAAAAUCAGACUCUGAAAAACUAAUCCAUGCAUUCAUAAACAAGCAGACUAGAUUACUAUAAUGGUUUAUUCACUGGACUCCCAAAGUCAAGUAUUCACAGGUUACAACUCAUUCAAAAUGCAGCUGCACGUAUUCUCACUGGUACCGAGAAAUAUCAACACAUCACACCUUCUUAAAUCCCUGCACUGGCCACUCGUUAAAACAAGAAUCAGAUCACAAUUUCAAAAUCCUGCUCCUGGUUUACAGAGCAAUGCACGGCCUUGCACCUCAGUACAUCACAGAUAUACUCCUCACUUACACCCCAGCAAGAACACUUCAGUCAGCAGGCAGUGGCAACUUACUCAUCCUUCACACCAGAUCCAAGAAAGGGGAGGCAGCUUUUAGUGUAUAUGCUCCACAAAAAUGGAACACCCUGCCUGAUACAAUUAGACUUGCCACAUCAGUAGCCAUUUUUAAAAACAGGUUAAAAACAUACCUGUUUUCAACAGCAUUCUGUUGAGUUGUGUGUGUGCAUGUGUGGUUGUGUGGGUAUGUGCACAUGUGUGAGUUUAAGUGUGUAUACAUAUGAUUGUUUACUCGCACUCUCUUUUUUAUGACUGUUUUUUUAUGUAAUAUACCUGUUGAGAAGCAUAUUGAGUCUGCCUUGUGCAUGAAAUGUGCUUUAUAAAUAAAGUUGAAUUGAACUGAAU
This is a long non-coding RNA of Sphaeramia orbicularis (orbiculate cardinalfish), 4245 nucleotides long. Lineage: Eukaryota; Metazoa; Chordata; Actinopteri; Kurtiformes; Apogonidae. The record is from Ensembl.